UCUUCAUUAGUAUAACGGUUAGUAUAACCGCUUCUCAUGAUUCGCAAUUUUAACAGGCGAAUUUAGAGCGCGGUAGACCAGGGUUCAACUCCCUGAUGGAGAA
This 103-nucleotide transfer RNA is filed under the name Kwoniella heveanensis CBS 569. RNAcentral describes it as "tRNA-Glu". It matches the Rfam family "tRNA". Rfam says of the family: Transfer RNA (tRNA) molecules are approximately 80 nucleotides in length. Their secondary structure includes four short double-helical elements and three loops (D, anti-codon, and T loops). Lineage: Eukaryota; Fungi; Basidiomycota; Tremellomycetes; Tremellales; Cryptococcaceae. The record is from RNAcentral.